This is a long non-coding RNA of Callithrix jacchus (white-tufted-ear marmoset), 667 nucleotides long. RefSeq lists it as uncharacterized. The record is from RefSeq and is a predicted model, not a curated record. NCBI's taxonomy places the organism in Eukaryota, Metazoa, Chordata, Mammalia, Primates, Cebidae.
GGGUGAAAAGGAAUAGUUGCAGGCACACAGAGGAAUCGAGAAAAUUCUUUUCAGUAGAAAUCAAAAGGAAGUUAAAGGGAUUCGGAGAAUAUGACAAAGCAGGAAGCACCAUAAACCUGUCUUUCGGCACCCAUUGCACUGACACCAUUUAAGAAGUUAUUUUGGAAGUCAAGAGUCUACUAAAGGCAUCUAAUAUCUGGAGGGAAGCCUCAGAUGCACUGAGAAGCAGGGAUGGUUACCUGGGACCAGCUGAGCCACCCCCACUGCGGUGACCCCAGCACUUGCGACAGUCAGAUAGGAAAGGCAUCCACCUAAUGCUGAGUUUGCUUAUCCCUUCAUGAAACAAAGGCCCCCAUCAGAGGGUGAAGACAGCAAAAAUUUACCUGCAAAAGGGCAACUCAAUCUAAACUUCAUCACUCGGAAGAGGAGACCAAGUUCCCUGAACAAGUUUCCUUAAAGAGAAAAAUGAGAGAGUAAAACAAAUGUAGCAUCAGUGAUGAUAUCCACAAGGCAAUGGAAUUAUCCCACAGCUAUAAUGUACACCUCAGAGACUACAGGCAAUUUAUUAUGAAACUAAAUAACUGAAGACUUCACUUACAAUUUCAACUUCAACUCCAUGUUCAAUUUGCAUCAAAAUAUGUGUGCUACCAAUAAAAUUGCACCAGAA